CGUAGGCGGGUGUUUAAGUCAGAGGUCAAAUCCCAGGGCUCAACCCUGGAACUGCCUUUGAUACUGGACACCUAGAGUGCGGGAGAGGUGAGUGGAACUCCGAGUGUAGAGGUGAAAUUCGUAGAUAUUCGGAAGAACACCAGUGGCGAAGGCGACUCACUGGCCCGUUACUGACGCUGAGGCGCGAAAGCGUGGGGAGCAAACAGGAUUAGAUACCCUGGUAGUCCACGCCGUAAACGAUGAGUGCUAGUUGUCGGCAAGCAUGCUUGUCGGUGACGCAGCUAACGCAUUAAGCACUCCGCCUGGGGAGUACCGGUCGCAAGAUUAAAA
Molecule: ribosomal RNA, 330 nt
Filed under: uncultured bacterium
Lineage: Bacteria
Description: bacterial SSU rRNA
Rfam family: Bacterial small subunit ribosomal RNA
Source: RNAcentral